AUUGAACGCUGGCGGUAUGCUUAAGACAUGCAAGUCGAACGGUAACAGGUUAAGCUGACGAGUGGCGGACGAGUGAGUAACGCGUGGGAAUCUACCUUGUAGUGGGGGAUAACGUAUGGAAACGUACGCUAAUACCGCAUGCGCCCUACGGGGGAAAGUCGGGGACCGCAAGGCCUGACGCGAUUGGAUGAGCCCAUGUUCGAUUAGCUAGUUGGCGGGGUAAAGGCCCACCAAGGCGACGAUCGAUAGCUGGUCUGAGAGGAUGAUCAGCCACACUGGAACUGAGACACGGUCCAGACUCCUACGGGAGGCAGCAGUAGGGAAUAUUGGACAAUGGGCGCAAGCCUGAUCCAGCCAUGCCGCGUGAGUGAAGAAGGCCCUGGGUUGUAAAGCUCUUUUGUCCGGAAGAAAGCACUGGGUUAAUACCCCGGUGUCCUGACGGUACCGGAAGAAUAAGCACCGGCUAACUUCGUGCCAGCAG
This 481-nucleotide ribosomal RNA is filed under the name uncultured bacterium. Its description in RNAcentral is "bacterial SSU rRNA". It matches the Rfam family "Bacterial small subunit ribosomal RNA", at positions 30 to 514 of the family's 1533-position model. The record is from RNAcentral.